UGCGGAGACCUCCGGGCCUGCAGGGGGCGCCUGGUGCAGCGGAGCGCCCUAAUCUUAGGCAGGGCCGGGGCUGCGCAGUCAUGAUCACUGCCAAGGCCUCGGCGGACUCCGCCGUCCCCUCGGUGCAUGGUACUGCGGUGGCCACCGGUGUCCCGGAGCGCGAGGAGCCAGAGUGGCCCUGGAAAGAUGCCCCGAUCCGGGCGCUGGUGCAGCGCAUCCACCAGUUGCAGGCUGAGCGCGCGCAGGCCUUCCGCCGGCUGGAGGACCUCAGGACCCCCACCUGCCGCAGAGGCCACCUCCAGUACCUGCGAAGCGGCCCGCCCUACGACUUUCCCCGCUACCGGAGCACGGUGCACGAGGUGACCCAGGCCUUCGCCGCCGCCUCGCGGGAGGUGCUGGCGGUGGAGGCCGAGCUGUCUGGGCCCAGAGGGCAGCCGCUGCUCGCGAGCCACGUGCGAAGCCUGCAACAGCUGGAGCAGACGCGCCUGGCAACGGUUCUGGCCCUACUCCUCCCCUGGGUUCCAAGACCCCGCCUACUCUACCCCUACAGCCAAUCCCGACCGAGACGCACUUCCCAGGCCGAGCCCACGUGGCCCUGCUGCAGCUGAUGGGGACGCCAGAGCUGACUGGGCAGGAAGACACCCUGGAGACGCACCAGCUGAAGAUGAAGGUAAUUAAAACCAUGGAAGCGAUCAGCGAGGUUCUUCAGGACCUUAGGUUUGAUGCAGAAUCUGCCGAGUGAUGGUGGCUCCCCAGUGACACACCAAGGGAUAUGGGAAAUGUCCCCAAGCCUACCCCUUGACUGUCAGCUGGCUGGGGUCACGCUCCACCAGGUCGCCGACUGCCCUUGAGUUUGCUGCACCUCCCACAAUAAAGAACCCUUCGUCUGUA
Neofelis nebulosa (Clouded leopard) is the source of this 891-nucleotide RNA transcript. It is a transcript of the gene named required for excision 1-B domain containing, with no coding region annotated. Lineage: Eukaryota; Metazoa; Chordata; Mammalia; Carnivora; Felidae. The transcript has 6 exons. The record is from RefSeq and is a predicted model, not a curated record.